Molecule: non-coding RNA, 73 nt
Organism: Trichonephila inaurata madagascariensis
Lineage: Eukaryota; Metazoa; Arthropoda; Arachnida; Araneae; Nephilidae
Source: the annotation of a GenBank genome assembly
GUCCCUGUAGCGCAAUGGAUAGCGCGUUGGACUUCUAAUCCAAAGAGAGUGGAUUUAAAUCCCACCUGGAAUG